GAUGAAGAACGUAGCGAAAUGCGAUAAGUAGUGUGAAUUGCAGAAUUCAGUGAAUCAUCGAAUCUUUGAACGCACGUUGCGCCCCUUGGUAUUCCAUGGGGCAUGCCUGUUCGAGCGUCAUUUGUACCUUCAAGCUCUGCUUGGUGUUGGGUGUUUGUCUCGCCUCUGCGUGUAGACUCGCCUCAAAACAAUUGGCAGCCGGCGUAUUGAUUUCGGAGCGCAGUACAUCUCGCGCUUUGCACUCAUAACGACGACGUCCAAAAGUACAUUUUUACACUCUUGACCUCGGAUCAGGUAGGGAUACCCGCUGAACUUAAGCAUAUCAAUAAGCGGAGGA
RNAcentral lists this unclassified non-coding RNA (337 nucleotides) under soil metagenome. RNAcentral describes it as "partial contains 5.8S ribosomal RNA, internal transcribed spacer 2, and large subunit ribosomal RNA". The stretch from base 1 to 120 matches the Rfam family "5.8S ribosomal RNA", at positions 35 to 154 of the family's 154-position model. The record is from RNAcentral.